This 491-nucleotide ribosomal RNA is filed under the name uncultured bacterium. RNAcentral's name for it is "partial 16S ribosomal RNA". It matches the Rfam family "Bacterial small subunit ribosomal RNA", at positions 29 to 507 of the family's 1533-position model. The record is from RNAcentral.
AGUGAACGCUGGCGGUAGGCCUAACACAUGCAAGUCGAACGGCAGCACAGUAAGAGCUUGCUCUUACGGGUGGCGAGUGGCGGACGGGUGAGGAAUACAUCGGAAUCUACUUUUUGGGGGGGCUUAAGGAAGGAAACCUUAGGUAAUAACGCAAUCGACCUUCGGGUGGAAGCCGGGGGACUUUUGACCCUGCGGGGUUGGAAGAGGCGGUGUCGGAUUAGCUAGUUGGGGGGGUAAAGGCCCAACAAGGCGACGAUCCGUAGCUGGUCUUGGAGGAUGAUCAGCCACACUGGAACUGAGACACGGUCCAGACUCCUACGGGAGGCAGCAGUGGGGAAUAUUGGACAAUGGGCGCAAGCCUGAUCCAGCCAUACCGCGUGGGUGAAGAAGGCCUUCGGGUUGUAAAGCCCUUUUGUUGGGAAAGAAAAGCAGCAGGUUAAUACCCCGCUGUUCUGACGGUACCCAAAGAAUAAGCACCGGCUAACUUCGUG